UACAGAGACCUCAAGCAUUAUCCGGAAUUAUUGGGCGUAAAGGGUCCGCAGGCGGCCUGGUAAGUCAUGCGUCAAAUCUUUGGGCUCAACCCAGAGACUGCGUGUGAUACUGCUAAGCUAGAGGCAGGGAGAGGUGCAUGGAAUUACUGGUGUAGCGGUAAAAUGCGUUCAUAUCAGUAAGAACACCAAAGGCGAAGGCAAUGCACUGGAACUGUCCUGACGCUCAGGGACGAAAGCGUGGGGAGCGAAA
Molecule: ribosomal RNA, 250 nt
Filed under: uncultured bacterium
Lineage: Bacteria
Description: partial 16S ribosomal RNA
Rfam family: Bacterial small subunit ribosomal RNA
Source: RNAcentral